GUGAACCUCCUGGGGCAGCAGAAGGAGAAGCUGGGGGCAGUCCAGCAAGGCUGCCUGUGCUGUGAGCAUUCCCCACCCUGCGCCAUCAGUCCCGUGCUCAUGACUGUCUGAGAUUCGAGAAGAGUACCAUUUCCCCAAAAUUAAUUUACCAGCAAGAGGAGGAACUUCCUCCAUGCUGAGGAGCCGUUGCCUGGGGACCCACCCUGUCAGCCCAGGCCCUGGGUGGGGACACCGUGAGGACAGCAAGAAGGUGUCUGGCAUGGAAGGUUAAAGAUGUCUCCCAGGGGCCUCAUGCCCUUGGAGUUGGGGCCGUGAGAAGGACACUGGAUUACAGAAGCCCUGUGGCCCACUGGCCUUCAGGAGUCAGGGUGUGAUGGCAGCAGAAAACCGUGGACUCAGCUAUUUAAAAAGCAUUUUUCAUCUAAAGAAACGGUUCCCCGAUGAAUCAUAGAAACCUGUGAGGCCCUUAAUUUGUGAUAUUUGAUUGGGAAAGAAGAAACAAUAGCUAACACUCACCACAAAGAUUACCACCUGUAGGGUAAAAGAUGGGUUUCUCCCUGGAAACUCCAGAGCUUCACGCCAGUGUGGGUUGGCCUCAUCAUCCCUUGUGCUCAGGCAGAGGAGGAAACAGCCGACAGUCUGGCCAGAGUCUCCCCAUCUUUCCAGAAUGAAAGUCCGAUUUGCUGAAAGGAGACUACAAAAUCAUGAAUGGAGGAGGGAAUGAAUGAAUGGGCGAGUGCUGGAGAGACGGAAGGAUGAGUGAAUAGCUGACUCUAUCUGCAAAACUUGGUAUUACUAGAAAACCAGUUUUAUUUUAAUAUGGCCAAAAUAUUUGGAGGUUAAGGUCACAGAAGUUUAAAUUAUUCAAUAAGAAAUUUGAAGCCAAAAUCAUGGCAUCAAAAUCCAGAAUCAUUCCUAUAAUGAUAAGUUCAGAGUUACUAAACUGUAGAAAAUAUGCCAAUGCUCAGGCACUGUAUAUUAUUUGAAAUGUCUGGAUUGGUUGGGGAUUUUUAAAAUAAAAAUACAAUUCUUCAAUAACAAAA
This is a long non-coding RNA of Cavia porcellus (domestic guinea pig), 1043 nucleotides long. RefSeq lists it as uncharacterized. The transcript has 5 exons. NCBI's taxonomy places the organism in Eukaryota, Metazoa, Chordata, Mammalia, Rodentia, Caviidae. The record is from RefSeq and is a predicted model, not a curated record.